AUGGCGGCCGGCGGGGCCGAAGGACGGGCGAUCGUCGUAGGCCGGCAGGUUCAGCGGGUGCUUGGCCCGCUCGAUGAGGCUGAAGACGACGGUGUCCUCCUCCCUGGUGAGGAAGCCCCUCACCGUGUCGAGCCCGAGCCCCGCGCACGGGGGCACGACCACGAGCAGCAGCGCGAUCGCGUUGCAGAAGAGGAGGAGAUACGUGUGAAGGGAGGGCGCGGCCAUUGGUGUUACAAUCGGUUUAGCGAGCUGUUACUCAUGGAUCACCGCCGUCUCGAGGUGGAACUUGGGCAGGAGCACUUUUGCUCUCCGACGAGCAAUUCCACCGGGGAUACUGGGAAAUCGAAGUCAUCAUCAUCACCAACAACCCUCUCAUCAUGGGAGGACCAAUCUUCUUGA
RNAcentral lists this ribosomal RNA (399 nucleotides) under Triticum aestivum (bread wheat). Its description in RNAcentral is "partial small subunit ribosomal RNA". The record is from RNAcentral. Lineage: Eukaryota; Viridiplantae; Streptophyta; Magnoliopsida; Poales; Poaceae.